GUUCCAGCACCUCUGAUAUUACCUCACAUGGCAAGAGGGCUUUGAAGAUGUGAUUGAGUCAAGGAUCUUGAAUGGGGAGAUUAUCCUGAAUUACUCAGGUGGACCCAGUGUAAUCACAAAGGUUUUUCAAAGAUGGAAGAGGGCAGAAGAGCCAGAAAAGGAUAUGUGACAAUGGAGUCAGUGUCAGAGUUGGAGUGACGUGAUGUGAGAAGGAUUCAACCUGCUGUUUCUGGCUUUGAGGAUGAAAGAAGGGGCCAUGAGCCAAGCAAUACAGGUGGCUUCUUUCAAGAAGUUGGAAAAGUGGUAAUAUUUUAUGUUAUUUUGGUUUGAUUUUUGUUUGUGGCAUAUGGCUCUGCUGUCCUGUGACUCUAAGUAGAAGAGAAAAUAGUGCCAAUAAUUUCUUCGUGGAGAUGCACCUCUCUCUCUUAAGUCUUGAACAAUGUUUGAGGAAAAGUGCUUUCAGCUGGGCUGAUGAGAACACCUUGGCACUCUUUCCUGCAAUGGGCACUGAUUGAGGGUCUUCCUGGUGUGGCAUCAUCAAAUCCCUGUUGCUCAAACCCACUAAUUAGCUCGUUCUUAUCUACAAGUAGCAGGGGCCCUAAAGCUCUCUGAGAAGAUCUCAUACUGUGUCUCCUACAUUUCAUCUUCUAUAAUCUCUUAUUCUUAGAGACAGAAAGAUGGCUAAAAGACAUCACUUCAUUUCUUUCUCUGGAUUUGGAAAGAGUUAUAUACUGGGAUUAUGCUGUUAGUUUACACUUGCAUUGUUUAAAUUAGAGGAAAGGUUAUUUUGUGCAGAACAAAUAAAAAUUACUCUUUAACUACCUUUCAGAAUAUCCCAACUUUUAACAUAAACUGUUUUGUAAAGGCUGGUUGUAGUGACUUGCUUCAUAAUAGACUAUUAAAAUAAGAUGCAUUGAAA
RNAcentral lists this long non-coding RNA (919 nucleotides) under Pan troglodytes (chimpanzee). RNAcentral's name for it is "lincRNA". Lineage: Eukaryota; Metazoa; Chordata; Mammalia; Primates; Hominidae. The record is from RNAcentral.